RNAcentral lists this ribosomal RNA (110 nucleotides) under Staphylococcus agnetis. Its description in RNAcentral is "partial 23S ribosomal RNA". It matches the Rfam family "Bacterial large subunit ribosomal RNA", at positions 1 to 109 of the family's 2925-position model. Lineage: Bacteria; Bacillati; Bacillota; Bacilli; Caryophanales; Staphylococcaceae. The record is from RNAcentral.
AGAUUAAGUUAUUAAGGGCGCACGGUGGAUGCCUUGGCACUAGAAGCCGAUGAAGGACGUUACUAACGACGAUAUGCUUUGGGGAGCUGUAAGUAAGCUGUGAUCCAGAG